Molecule: microRNA precursor, 78 nt
Filed under: Schistosoma haematobium
Lineage: Eukaryota; Metazoa; Platyhelminthes; Trematoda; Strigeidida; Schistosomatidae
Description: mir-3492 microRNA precursor family
Rfam family: mir-3492 microRNA precursor family
Source: Rfam by way of RNAcentral
AGCCUCCUGAACCUGUGCUGAGAUUUCGUCAGACGCCAGACUGUCAGUAGUGGUGAGACUUCCAAGAUAAAUGAAACG